Molecule: ribosomal RNA, 800 nt
Filed under: uncultured bacterium
Lineage: Bacteria
Description: bacterial SSU rRNA
Rfam family: Bacterial small subunit ribosomal RNA
Source: RNAcentral
AGAGUUUGAUCAUGGCUCAGGAUGAACGCUGGCGGCGUGCCUAACACAUGCAAGUCGAACGGGGAUGCGGUAAGGAAGGGAAGCGCUUGCGCGGAACGGAAAGACGGCAUCCCAGUGGCGGACGGGUGAGUAACGCGUGGGCAACCUGCCUUAUACAGGGGGAUAACACCUGGAAACAGGUGCUAAUACCGCAUAAGCGCACAGUUUCGCAUGAAACGGUGUGAAAAGGAGGAACAUAGUUUCUCCGGUAUAAGAUGGGCCCGCGUCUGAUUAGCCAGUUGGCGGGGUAACGGCCCACCAAAGCUACGAUCAGUAGCCGGCCUGAGAGGGUGGACGGCCACAUUGGGACUGAGACACGGCCCAAACUCCUACGGGAGGCAGCAGUGGGGAAUAUUGCACAAUGGGGGAAACCCUGAUGCAGCGACGCCGCGUGAGUGAAGAAGUAUUUCGGUAUGUAAAGCUCUGUCAGCAGGGAAGGAAAAAGACGGUACCUGACCAAGAAGCCCCGGCUAACUACGUGCCAGCAGCCGCGGUAAUACGUAGGGGGCAAGCGUUAUCCGGAUUUACUGGGUGUAAAGGGAGCGUAGACGGCAUGGCAAGUCUGAAGUGAAAACCCGCGGCCCAACUGCGGGAGUGCUUUGGAAACUGUCAGGCUGGAGUACAGGAGAGGUAAGCGGAAUUCCUAGUGUAGCGGUGAAAUGCGUAGAUAUUAGGAGGAACACCAGCGGCGAAGGCGGCUUACUGGACUGUAACUGACGUUGAGGCUCGAAAGCGUGGGGAGCAAACAGGAUUAGAUACCC